AACGAACGCUGGCGGCAUGCCUAACACAUGCAAGUCGAACGAGGCCCUUCGGGGUUUAGUGGCGCACGGGUGCGUAACGCGUGGGAAUCUGCCCUUUGGUUCGGAAUAACGGCUGGAAACGGCUGCUAAUACCGGAUGAUGACGAGAGUCCAAAGAUUUAUCGCCAGAGGAUGAGCCCGCGUUGGAUUAGGUAGUUGGUGGGGUAAAGGCCUACCAAGCCGACGAUCCAUAGCUGGUCUGAGAGGAUGAUCAGCCACACUGGGACUGAGACACGGCCCAGACUCCUACGGGAGGCAGCAGUGGGGAAUAUUGGACAAUGGGCGCAAGCCUGAUCCAGCAAUGCCGCGUGAGUGAUGAAGGCCCUAGGGUUGUAAAGCUCUUUUACCCGGGAAGAUAAUGACUGUACCGGGAGAAUAAGCCCCGGCUAACUCCGUG
This 435-nucleotide ribosomal RNA is filed under the name uncultured bacterium. RNAcentral describes it as "bacterial SSU rRNA". It matches the Rfam family "Bacterial small subunit ribosomal RNA", at positions 29 to 507 of the family's 1533-position model. The record is from RNAcentral.